RNAcentral lists this ribosomal RNA (2176 nucleotides) under Paradoxapseudes shimojiensis. RNAcentral describes it as "SSU rRNA". It matches the Rfam family "Eukaryotic small subunit ribosomal RNA". Lineage: Eukaryota; Metazoa; Arthropoda; Malacostraca; Tanaidacea; Apseudidae. The record is from RNAcentral.
UAGUAUAUGCUUGUCUCAAAGACUAAGCCAUGCAUGUCUCAGUACAGGCCAAAAAUAAGGCGAAACCGCGAAUGGCUCAUUAAAUCAGUCAUGGUCUAUUGGAUCUUGCCACUUUACUUGGAUACCUGUGGUAAUUCUAGAGCUAAUACAUGCAACUGAGCCGUGAGCCCCUCUGCCUGGACUUGUUCCUUGCAGAUGUGGGCGAAGGGCGCUUUUAUUAGAUCCGAAAAUAAACCGACCAGACCUCGGUCUGCCAACCUAUUCCUCGGAUGAAUCCGAAUAACUUAGCCGAGCGCUACGGUCUCUGAACCGGCGCCGUAUCCUUCGAGUGUCUGCCUUAUCAGCUGUCGAUUGUAGGUUAUACGCCUACAAUGGCUGUAACGGGUAACGGGGAAUCAGGGUUCGAUUCCGGAGAGGGAGCCUGAGAAACGGCUACCACAUCUAAGGAAGGCAGCAGGCACGCAAAUUACCCACUCCCGGCACGGGGAGGUAGUGACGAAAAAUAACGAUGUGGGACUCUUCCGAGGCCCCGCAAUCGGAAUGAGUCCAACUUAAAUCCUUGGACGAGGAUCCAUUGGAGGGCAAGUCUGGUGCCAGCAGCCGCGGUAAUUCCAGCUCCAAUAGCGUAUAUUAAAGUUGCUGCGGUUAAAAAGCUCGUAGUUGGAUUUUGGCCCCGGACCGGCGGCCCACCUAAGACUCGUCCCCGCCAUCAAGGGACUGGCCUGCUUCAAGGUGCCGCUCAGCUUCUCUCGUGGUUCGCGAUCUCAUGGUCGUCGUUCCUCGUAGUUGAAGUGUUGAGAGUGCCUUGUUCUGUGCCAUGUCUCGGCGGGUUAGCGAGUCCGGUUGGAUCCCCGCUCGGCUCUGGGUUGCAAAAACCGUCGGCUCACAUGGGGUGCUCUUCACUGAGUGUCCUGCGUGGCCGGCAAGUUCACUUUGAGAAAAUCAGAGUGCUCAGAGCAGGCUAAGUCUAAUGCCUGAAUGCUGUUGCAUGGAAUGAUAGAACAGGACCUCGGCCCUGGCCCUUUGUCGGUUUUCGGGGCUCGAGGUAAUGAUUAAAGGGAACAAACGGGGGCAUUCGUACUGCGACGCUAGAGGUGAAAUUCUUGGACCGUCGCAUGACGAACUACUGCGAAAGCAUCUGCCAAGGGUGUUUUCGUUAAUCAAGAACGAAAGUUAGAGGAUCGAAGGCGAUCAGAUACCGCCCUAGUUCUAACUGUAAACUAUGCUGACCGGCUAUCCGCCGAAGUCAUUCCCACGACUCGGCGGGCAUCCUCCGGGAAACCAGAGUUUCUGAGUUCCGGGGGAAGUAUGGUUGCAAAGCUGAAACUUAAAGGAAUUGACGGAAGGGCACCACCAGGAGUGGAGCCUGCGGCUUAAUUUGACUCAACACGGGGAAACUCACCAGGCCCAGACACUGGAAGGAUUGACAGAUUGAGAGCUCUUUCUCGAUUCAGUGGGUGGUGGUGCAUGGCCGUUCUUAGUUGGUGGAGCGAUCUGUCUGGUUAAUUCCGAUAACGAACGAGACUCUACCCUGCUAAAUAGUCGGCGGAUCGUCUCCCGAGGUCGAUGGGUUCUGCCCUGAUGCCGAGUGCUGGGAUACCCCAUGGCAAGCUCCUGUUGGUUCGUGCUGUUCCCUUUACGGGGUGCACCGGGUCGCCUGAGCACCUUGGGUCCCUGGACAUCUCUGGUAUCUUGGUAUCCCCACGGCUCGUUCGGGGCGUCCGUCGCAACUUCUUCUUAGAGGGAUCAGCGGCGUCCAGCCGCACGAGAUUGAGCAAUAACAGGUCUGUGAUGCCCUUAGAUGUUCUGGGCCGCACGCGCGCUACAAUGGAGGGAGCAGCGUGCACCCUACUCCGAGAGGAGUGGGUAACCGCCUCAAAUCCGUUCUCAAUUGGGAUUGGGGCUUGCAAAUGUUUCCCAUGAACAAGGAAUUCCCAGUAAGCGCGAGUCACCAGCUCGCGCUGAUUACGUCCCUGCCCUUUGUACACACCGCCCGUCGCUACUACCGAUUGAAUGAUUCAGUGAGGACAUUGGACUGGCGCCCACGGCACGGUUCUCGCGCCAUCCGCUAACGUCUCUGCUCUGCAGUUUCGGGGUGGCCGAGGGCACCGCGGGCUGACGGAAAGAUGUCCGAACUUGAUUAUUUAGAGGAAGUAAAAGUCGUAACAAGGUUUCC